This 75-nucleotide transfer RNA is filed under the name Celerinatantimonas diazotrophica. Its description in RNAcentral is "tRNA-Gln". It matches the Rfam family "tRNA". Rfam says of the family: Transfer RNA (tRNA) molecules are approximately 80 nucleotides in length. Their secondary structure includes four short double-helical elements and three loops (D, anti-codon, and T loops). RNAcentral also lists the same sequence under 1 other name. The record is from RNAcentral. Lineage: Bacteria; Pseudomonadati; Pseudomonadota; Gammaproteobacteria; Celerinatantimonadaceae.
AGGGGUAUAGCCAAGUGGUAAGGCAACGGGUUUUGAUCCCGUCAUGCGCUGGUUCAAAUCCAGCUACCCCUGCCA